GUGACUGCGUACCUUUUGUAUAAUGGGUCAGCGACUUAUAUUCUGUAGCAAGGUUAACCGAAUAGGGGAGCCGAAGGGAAACCGAGUCUUAACUGGGCGUUAAGUUGCAGGGUAUAGACCCGAAACCCGGUGAUCUAGCCAUGGGCAGGUUGAAGGUUGGGUAACACUAACUGGAGGACCGAACCGACUAAUGUUGAAAAAUUAGCGGAUGACUUGUGGCUGGGGGUGAAAGGCCAAUCAAACCGGGAGAUAGCUGGUUCUCCCCGAAAGCUAUUUAGGUAGCGCCUCGUGAAUUCAUCUCCGGGGGUAGAGCACUGUUUCGGCAAGGGGGUCAUCCCGACUUACCAACCCGAUGCAAACUGCGAAUACCGGAGAAUGUUAUCACGGGAGACACACGGCGGGUGCUAACGUCCGUCGUGAAGAGGGAAACAACCCAGACCGCCAGCUAAGGUCCCAAAGUCAUGGUUAAGUGGGAAACGAUGUGGGAAGGCCCAGACAGCCAGGAUGUUGGCUUAGAAGCAGCCAUCAUUUAAAGAAAGCGUAAUAGCUCACUGGUCGAGUCGGCCUGCGCGGAAGAUGUAACGGGGCUAAACCAUGCACCGAAGCUGCGGCAGCGACGCUGAUGCGUUGUUGGGUAGGGGAGCGUUCUGUAAGCCUGUGAAGGUGUGCUGUGAGGCAUGCUGGAGGUAUCAGAAGUGCGAAUGCUGACAUAAGUAACGAUAAAGCGGGUGAAAAGCCCGCUCGCCGGAAGACCAAGGGUUCCUGUCCAACGUUAAUCGGGGCAGGGUGAGUCGACCCCUAAGGCGAGGCCGAAAGGCGUAGUCGAUGGGAAACAGGUUAAUAUUCCUGUACUUGGUGUUACUGCGAAGGGGGGACGGAGAAGGCUAUGUUGGCCGGGCGACGGUUGUCCCGGUUUAAGCGUGUAGGCUGGUUUUCCAGGCAAAUCCGGAAAAUCAAGGCUGAGGCGUGAUGACGAGGCACUACGGUGCUGAAGCAACAAAUGCCCUGCUUCCAGGAAAAGCCUCUAAGCAUCAGGUAACAUCAAAUCGUACCCCAAACCGACACAGGUGGUCAGGUAGAGAAUACCAAGGCGCUUGAGAGAACUCGGGUGAAGGAACUAGGCAAAAUGGUGCCGUAACUUCGGGAGAAGGCACGCUGAUAUGUAGGUGAAGUCCCUCGCGGAUGGAGCUGAAAUCAGUCGAAGAUACCAGCUGGCUGCAACUGUUUAUUAAAAACACAGCACUGUGCAAACACGAAAGUGGACGUAUACGGUGUGACGCCUGCCCGGUGCCGGAAGGUUAAUUGAUGGGGUCAGCGCAAGCGAAGCUCUUGAUCGAAGCCCCGGUAAACGGCGGCCGUAACUAUAACGGUCCUAAGGUAGCGAAAUUCCUUGUCGGGUAAGUUCCGACCUGCACGAAUGGCGUAAUGAUGGCCAGGCUGUCUCCACCCGAGACUCAGUGAAAUUGAACUCGCUGUGAAGAUGCAGUGUACCCGCGGCAAGACGGAAAGACCCCGUGAACCUUUACUAUAGCUUGACACUGAACAUUGAGCCUUGAUGUGUAGGAUAGGUGGGAGGCUUAGAAGUGUGGACGCCAGUCUGCAUGGAGCCGACCUUGAAAUACCACCCUUUAAUGUUUGAUGUUCUAACGUUGACCCGUAAUCCGGGUUGCGGACAGUGUCUGGUGGGUAGUUUGACUGGGGCGGUCUCCUCCUAAAGAGUAACGGAGGAGCACGAAGGUUGGCUAAUCCUGGUCGGACAUCAGGAGGUUAGUGCAAUGGCAUAAGCCAGCUUGACUGCGAGCGUGACGGCGCGAGCAGGUGCGAAAGCAGGUCAUAGUGAUCCGGUGGUUCUGAAUGGAAGGGCCAUCGCUCAACGGAUAAAAGGUACUCCGGGGAUAACAGGCUGAUACCGCCCAAGAGUUCAUAUCGACGGCGGUGUUUGGCACCUCGAUGUCGGCUCAUCACAUCCUGGGGCUGAAGUAGGUCCCAAGGGUAUGGCUGUUCGCCAUUUAAAGUGGUACGCGAGCUGGGUUUAGAACGUCGUGAGACAGUUCGGUCCCUAUCUGCCGUGGGCGCUGGAGAACUGAGGGGGGCUGCUCCUAGUACGAGAGGACCGGAGUGGACGCAUCACUGGUGUUCGGGUUGUCAUGCCAAUGGCACUGCCCGGUAGCUAAAUGCGGAAGAGAUAAGUGCUGAAAGCAUCUAAGCACGAAACUUGCCCCGAGAUGAGUUCUCCCUGACUCCUUGAGAGUCCUGAAGGAACGUUGAAGACGACGACGUUGAUAGGCCGGGUGUGUAAGCGCAGCGAUGCGUUGAGCUAACCGGUACUAAUGAACCGUGAGGCUUAACCUUACAACGCCGAAG
RNAcentral lists this ribosomal RNA (2364 nucleotides) under Escherichia coli. RNAcentral's name for it is "bacterial LSU rRNA". It matches the Rfam family "Bacterial large subunit ribosomal RNA", at positions 593 to 2925 of the family's 2925-position model. Lineage: Bacteria; Pseudomonadati; Pseudomonadota; Gammaproteobacteria; Enterobacterales; Enterobacteriaceae. The record is from RNAcentral.